RNAcentral lists this transfer RNA (72 nucleotides) under Camelus bactrianus (Bactrian camel). It matches the Rfam family "tRNA". From Rfam's summary of the family: Transfer RNA (tRNA) molecules are approximately 80 nucleotides in length. Their secondary structure includes four short double-helical elements and three loops (D, anti-codon, and T loops). Further hydrogen bonds mediate the characteristic L-shaped molecular structure. tRNAs have two regions of fundamental functional importance: the anti-codon, which is responsible for specific mRNA codon recognition, and the 3' end, to which the tRNAs corresponding amino acid is attached (by aminoacyl-tRNA synthetases). tRNAs cope with the degeneracy of the genetic code in two manners: having more than one tRNA (with a specific anti-codon) for a particular amino acid; and 'wobble' base-pairing, i.e. permitting non-standard base-pairing at the 3rd anti-codon position. Lineage: Eukaryota; Metazoa; Chordata; Mammalia; Artiodactyla; Camelidae. The record is from Rfam by way of RNAcentral. RNAcentral also lists the same sequence under 2 other names.
GAGGGCAUAGCUCAGUGGUAGAGCGUGCGCCUAGUAAGCAUGAGGUCCUGGGUUCAAACCCCAGUACCUGCA